Molecule: non-coding RNA, 29 nt
Filed under: Rattus norvegicus (Norway rat)
Lineage: Eukaryota; Metazoa; Chordata; Mammalia; Rodentia; Muridae
Source: RNAcentral
UGUCAGGCUGAUUGCAUAAGAAAGGCAGU